UACAGAGGGGGCAAGCGUUGUUCGGAAUUAUUGGGCGUAAAGGGCGCGUAGGCGGUGCGGUAAGUCACUUGUGAAAUCUCCGGGCUUAACUCGGAACGGUCAAGUGAUACUGUCGGACUAGAGUACAGAAGGGGCAACUGGAAUUCUCGGUGUAGCGGUGAAAUGCGUAGAUAUCUGCAGGAACACCCGUAGCGAAGGCGGCACUCUGGGCCGGAACUGACGCUGAGGAGCGAAAGCGUGGGGAGCGAACAGG
RNAcentral lists this ribosomal RNA (253 nucleotides) under uncultured bacterium. RNAcentral describes it as "partial 16S ribosomal RNA". It matches the Rfam family "Bacterial small subunit ribosomal RNA", at positions 524 to 776 of the family's 1533-position model. The record is from RNAcentral.